ACUGACAUCUGUUAGUGAAAAGCAGCGCGCUCAGGCUUCUUGAUGUGAACACACCCCUUGUCUGUAAUGCGUCGGUUGGCUAUACUUCCUGGUAAAUUAACUAGUUUCUUCUAAAGAACGUUGACUUACAACUUCGUUUUCAGAUAAAGACGUAUGGUAUAAUAUCACGCAAUUUCCUCAAACUCGUUAAAAACAAAGAAAACAGGGUAAUUCGUCUGAAAAUGGGAAGCACCGUGAUGGAGUCCAACAAGAAGGAUAUGAAAACCUCGAAGAAAAAGAGAACACUACACCUAAAUAUGCCAGACGUAAGUGCUUUCGCCUUCCCCAUAAUGGACGGCAAGUCUGGAGGCUCGGGCAAGGAUGGCUAUCCAAAUGGAGAGGUCUGCAGCCACUCUGUCAGCCCAACUAAAGGACUCUUUGUGAGGGGUGGUCCUGCCGGUGUCAGCCAACCCUCCAGUCCCAUGGCUGCCCACUCCCAGUGCCGGAUCAGCCCUGGCUCAUCCAGAACCAUUUCCCCCUACCUCUCCACCCACCAGGUCCCCUCACCACCCAAAUCCCCCCUUUGCCUCAGCUUCAGUGGUAUAUUCCGCUCUUCGCCCAACUCAUCAUCCAACUCUAGCAUCAAGCUCUUUUCUAGGACCAGGAAAGUCUCCGGCCUCUCGUCUUCCCCCACCCCACCCAGCACCCCCUGCCUGCACAUGCUGUUCCCCCAGGAGGUUCACCAGAGUGCCCCAGAGCGCCUGGAACGCUCCCUCUCAUCACCCCCACCAGACACCGGACAGCGCCUUAGCCUGCCAGCCUCUGCCAAGCCCCCCAUGUCCUCCUCCUCUCCGAUACCCUACGCUUUCCCACUGGCCCAAGCUACCUCACAGCCAAAUUUCUACGGUUUAUUCGAAGGCAUGCUGGAGAAACUUGAUCUAAACGAUGAUGGUGUUGCUGCUGAACCAGACAGAGAUAUUUACAUGCGCUUUAUGAAGUCCCACUGCUGCUAUGACAUCGUUCCCACCAGCUCCAAGCUGGUUGUGUUCGACACUGGCCUACAGGUGAAGAAGGCGUUCUUUGCCUUAGUGGCCAAUGGGGUGCGUGCUGCCCCACUAUGGGAUUCAGAGAAGCAGUGUUUUGUGGGAAUGUUGACAAUCACAGACUUCAUCAUCAUACUACACAGAUACUACAAGUCACCGUUGGUGCAAAUAUAUGAGUUGGAAGAUCAUAAGCUUGAGACAUGGAGAGAAGUAUAUUUGCAAGAGACAUUCAAGCCUUUAGUGAACAUAUCACCCGAAUCAAGCAUAUUUGAUGCAGUGUAUUCCCUCAUUAAAAACAAGAUCCACCGGCUGCCUGUCAUCGACCCUGUGACGGGGAACCCACUUUACAUCCUCACACACAAGAGGAUCCUCAAGUUCCUACAGCUCUUUGUGCGUGAGAUGCCCAAGCCGGCUUUUAUGAAGCAGACUCUCGGAGAGCUGGGCAUCGGCACCUACAAGAACAUAGCCUUCAUCCACCCUGACACACCCAUCAUCAAGGCCCUGCAGAUCUUCGUAGAGAGGAGGGUGUCUGCCCUGCCUGUUGUGGACGUAUCUGGGAAAGUGGUGGAUAUUUACUCCAAAUUUGAUGUCAUAAACCUGGCAGCAGAGAAGACUUAUAAUAACCUGGACAUCACAGUGACCCAGGCUCUGAGGCAUCGCUGCCAGUACUUUGAGGGGGUCAUGCAAUGCCACAAGCUGGAUACACUGGAGACCAUUGUGGACAAGAUUGUCAAAGCAGAGGUCCACCGGCUGGUAGUGGUUGAUGAUCGCUCGGCCAUCGAGGGCAUCAUCUCCCUGUCUGACAUUCUGCAGGCCCUGGUGCUCAGCCCAGCAGGAAAUGCCUUUGCUGGUGCAGUCAUAAUGCAUUUAGAAAUUGCAUUUUGAAUUGGCUGGUGCAUCAGUUCCCAGAUUUGAAAACUGCAGUGAGCAGACUCAUCAACUCCGAUAUGCCUGCAGAGAGGAGGGCCUCCUGGAGUGAGACGGGGGGCUACUGCUGCUGGAAUCACAGAGGCUGUCCUACAAUAUAUAACUUGUAUUUUACAGGUAGCUGCCAAGAUAAAGGAAACACUUGAGUAAAUUAGGGAUACAAAGUCUAUUGAAAGCAGGUGCUUCUAAACAGGUGUGAUUCCUGAGUUAAUUAAGCAGUUGACAUCCCAUCAUGCUUUGGGUCAUGUAUAAAAAUGCACAGUUGCCCAUUAUUUUCUUACCGUGGCUAAAAUAAGAGAUCUCAGUGACUUUGAGAGAGUGGUCUCAAAGGAACAUAGAGGGUUUAAAGUGGGUGUGUGUCUCCAGUGACUAGAUCUCAACCCAAUUGAACACUUAUGGGAGAUUCUGGAGUGGUGCCUGAGACAGUGCUUUCCACAACCAUUAACAAAACACCAAAUGAUGGAAUUUCUCUUGGAAAAAUCCCUUCUAUAUAAUUCCAGACACUUGAAGUGUGCAUUGAAGCUAUUCUGGCAGCUCGUGGUGGCCCAAUGCCCUAUUAAUAUAUUGGUGUUUCCUUUAUUUGGACAGUUACCUUUACGUCCAAAGCCCUUCAUAUUGAUGCACUAGACUUUGAAACCAAAGGGCUGGGCUGGAUUGGACUGCUACUGGGGGGUAAAUGGCUUUAAUACUGGAGGACCAGCAUCUCUCUGUCUGAAUGGAACUGGACUUGAUUCACUGUGGGGCUGAGCCAGUCUGAACUGUGGUUAUGUAUGUAUAUGAGGGCUAUAUACGUUUUGGUGUUUGUCUCAGUAUCAUGCUGCUCUGUCGUGUUAACAGUGCCUAGUCACUGGAUUGUUUCAAACCAUCAAUGAACAAGUAGAUUGACAGAUAUUGCCAAGGCAUCUUACUUGUUGAUACACACAAGCAUGUGUCUAAGUUCCCCACGGGAAAAAAUAACCUGUUUGUAUAGGUGGAGCUGCAAUGUACUGGACCACUAAAAGUGAUGGUUGAGUAAAUAACGUCAGUCUAUAUUCUAUGCUGUCAAACACAGACCAUUUAGACAAUAUAAUUGCAUUCUUCAUUUUAGUAUCAAAUGUGGCCAUAUUAUAGCAUGUUCUAUGAUAAGCCACAUGUUGCUAUAAUGAGUUGUUGUCCACACCCCUUUUAGGGGCUAUAUGCAGUCUCUCUGUCCAAUCCUUAGUCACAGUGCCUUUUGCUUGCCCUGCCCCUGACCAUGGAAGCAAACGCCAUUCUCUAACCAUAAUACAUCAAAACGAAGUGUUCUUGAAGAAUAAGCAAGAUCUUGUCAAAAAUGUGUUCUCAUUUAACCUGAAGGAGAAAUUGCAGGUGUUCAUGCUUUAUCUGGUUAUGAUUGGAGGGGUUUUGUUUGUAUAUGAGUAACAUGCUGUGAAGAGAGACAGAACAGGAAAAAGGCUUUAUUUUUUGGAUAUAUAUAUAUAUAUUUUGUAUUCAUUCUCGAUGACACUUGGGUUGAGAUUUAGAGCCAUUUAUUUUGUCCGCUUUAUGCACUUGAGACAUGGAUCACUUCCAUCUACAACAUCUAUAAAUCAAAAUGGUGGAUUCUGAACUGCUCUUGACCAGACUCCUGUGCUGUGGCCAGAGAACACACCUCUGACAACUCAUCUCUAUUGUUUCACUGUAAAUAAGAAAGUUUUCAGGAAAUGUGCCAGAGAAAGCUUUAUUUUUAUGUAACUUUAAAGAAAUCAUGUUAAAAUAACUGCAGUUUUAAUAUUAUUUUUGUAAAUAUAUUGUGGCAAAAUGAGCCAAUAUAAAUAAAGAUAAUUUCUAUUCAGAACAAGAUGUACAUGUGCAAGCAUGAGAAACGACACUAUAACAGUUGUGAAUGUUCUUUACUUUUCUAUUUUUCUGCAUGCAGAAAAAUAAACGAUGACACUGAAUGUA
This is an RNA transcript of Oncorhynchus keta (chum salmon), 3872 nucleotides long. It is a transcript of the gene named 5'-AMP-activated protein kinase subunit gamma-2-like, with no coding region annotated. The record is from RefSeq and is a predicted model, not a curated record. The transcript is spliced from 17 exons. Lineage: Eukaryota; Metazoa; Chordata; Actinopteri; Salmoniformes; Salmonidae.